GUAUCGGUUUCCGGGUUUCAUAUGACCGGCAUCUUCCGGUCUUCCCCACCUCUUCAUAACCCAUCUCAACACACCGCCCCAAACUCACCCAAAUCACAAACAGCAACAGCCACAUCGUUGUUCCUUUAAUGAUAGAAGUAUGUAAUUUUUUCAAAGAGACCGAAAUCGAAGUUCCGGCAGCUAGGAUUCCACUACGAACCCGACUACGGUGGUGAUUUGGGUUGUUGGUUCUGCGUCGGCUAGGGUUUCAAUUUAAAUCCGAAGACAGCGGUGAUUUCAGGUUGUCACUCUGAGGCCGGGAGCGGCAAUCGGAGAUUACGUUCACGAUCUCUCUGCGAUUCUUUCUGCAUGUUUGUUUGACGAUCCGUUGCUUUCCAAUUCAGAUUGUUUUUAUCAGUUUGACGAUUAACAAGCUAGGUGAAAGCUUGGGAACGAAGCAGGUCAAACGAAGCAAGAAUGACGGAAAAGCAUAAUUUGGAAGUAAGUGAUCGCCAAGAGUGCCCAGAUGAAGAUCAAGCUCGAAGAAGAACCGAACACACGAGAUUAAAGCUUCCGCACGGAGUUACGUCGUAACUUUUAACAACGAACUUAUUUAUAUAAUGUUGAAGACUUUUAAGUUGUAAACGUUUUAAAUUACUCGUAUUUUCCAAGGAUACUCAAUCGUAAUUACAUGUUUAUUUUCGUUAAUUAUAUGAAAACCUUUA
RNAcentral lists this long non-coding RNA (704 nucleotides) under Helianthus annuus (common sunflower). RNAcentral describes it as "hypothetical non coding rna". Lineage: Eukaryota; Viridiplantae; Streptophyta; Magnoliopsida; Asterales; Asteraceae. The record is from RNAcentral.